This is a non-coding RNA of Pelobates cultripes (western spadefoot toad), 312 nucleotides long. The record is from the annotation of a GenBank genome assembly. NCBI's taxonomy places the organism in Eukaryota, Metazoa, Chordata, Amphibia, Anura, Pelobatidae.
GGGACACCAAACAUCGCUCCUGCUGAUCACGCCGCUCUGGCCGAGCCAGGCCUGGUUCCCGGACCUAUUGUGUGACGAAAGCACCUUAAUCACUGGGAUUUGUAGAGGCCUGCUUGCCAGCCUCUUGCCCUGUUGUGAACUUUUGGACUAAAAACCCUGUUCGUGCCUUUUUCCGUGCUAUGGGCCUUACCGAAUGGAUUAGGCUUAGGGUGUUUGUUUACCGAAAAAACUGUUGAACAGCCGAAUCACCCGCAAGUGGAGUGUGCAGCCUGUUAACCUCCCAGAAGCUGUGGUUAACCGCAGCUUAAUUAA